GUAGGAACCCAAAUUCAUUUAUAGUACGUUUGUAUCGAUGCGAAUAAGUACAAUGAGGUGAGAGCUAUGACAUCCAACGCAAAGAACAGCUACACCUUUACGCUCUGACAUCCAACGCAAAGAACGACUACACCUUUACGCUCUGACUCAGUGAAAAGAAAACAAAAGAGAAGAAAGCAAGAGUCAGGUUAGAAAAACACAUGCUACAAGAAAACAGGGACAACCCGCCUUGUCUUCUUGGGGGUAAGACAAGAGACUUCUUCACACACACUCACACCCUUCAUAUAUAACAUUACAUAAAGUAACUCAAGGGAGCUUUAUUCGUGCUACUACCAGAUAGUAGCAGUGGCCGAACUCAUCAUUCAGUCGAGGCUAACAGCCACCUGGCGGGCAGAAGACGACUGGAGGAUGGACUGGAUAAACCACCGGAGGUGGCGAUAGAGAACCGAUGUUUCAGGUCAUCGGCCAUCGGACAGGAAUCCUCCCAUCGAGGAAUCGGAAUCCACCUGACGUCACUCUUCUGCAAGAUGAACGAUGCGUGAGGCAUAUAUUUUUCAAAAAGGAUGAGGAGGAAAGCGAAGAGACUGAAACUAAGCCAAAGGAGUAAUUCUGAAGAUACACUACUCUAUGUGUGGCCAUAUUUCAUGAAGGUAACAAAAAGGGGGCCUUACCUGGAAAUCAACGUCAUAUGUAAAUAUAACCUCCUUCCUUUCUUCGACCUCUUGAGGGUUUGUAGAGCUGGUAACCACACGCUUUGCAUGAGGAUUACAGGUGAUUGGAGUGGCCUUCUCGCUCCAUAUGCCUAUAUAUUCAUGUCUGACACUACAGUAAUAAAAAGAUGAUUUGGCACAGUUAUUGAGGUGGAUGUCUAAUAAACAGGACUAGCAUCAACCUAUGGUGUUUUGUAUGUGAUCAUGGAAAAUCACCUGAAUGGUUUAACCUCAAAUUGUUGUGGCCCCUGUUUCAUUAUCUUGGUGAUACUCGACAGUGAACCACAAGUGAUUGUAGAUAAAAUAUCUCUGCUCCCUACUCUGCAAAAAGUAUUCAGUCGUUACGUAUCCACAAACACUUGCAUAUUUAAAACACCUAAAAGAGAGGGAAUGCCAAGAUUGGUGCUCACUCCAGCAUAAUGUGCAUUGAAGCCAACAGGAAAGCCACGUCGAUAUGCUGUGAAAUUGUUCUGUGCAGGCCAUUCUAAUGGAACCACCAGAGGGAGAUAGUCCAACACCCUGCCAUUUAUGCUGUGUCAUCCAACAGUUCCAGAUCAUUAAGUUACAGCAGUUCUUGCUCUGCAUGCAUUUUAUGCUAAUCAGUGCUUACAUGUUCACUCGAUACUCGUCAUCCAUCUUUUUUUGAAAUUUUUGGCCUCUUUUGCAUCAAGAAUCUUUUGACAGAGAAUUUUGCACCGCUCACCUACUCCCAUUCUUAUCUGAGAUAAAAAGAAGCAAUCAGGUGAUCAAAAGGAAACGUGCCCCUCCUAUCUUCAAGCCAGGCAGUAUGUAAGUUUAUAAGGAUUGUCUGUACAUGCAUAUACACGUACUUAUGUAACCUACCUCAUAAUAGUCUUGGUUAUCUCAGCACAGCAAGUUAGGGGCCUACAAUCUUCCAGAUUAUACUCCUCCUUCUUCAACUGUGAGAAAUCCAUUGAGUAAGGGAUAGGCAUGGGAAUGGCCCUGAAAAAAGCCAAAUUGUCUUGACAAUAAUGAGGAGAGUAUACUUUGAAGCCUAGGUAGAAUCGAUCCUUCGUGGACAGCCAUAAUGAAAGGUCUACUAAGGAUUAUGCACGGACCAGAAGUUUUGGAAAGAGUUUAUACUAUCAGGAUCAAAAAGGUAAUAAUGUUCUUCAUUUUCAUAGUAGAAAAAGUCAAUAUCCCUGUGAUUAAUUCCAAGAUAGUUCGAAAAAUAAUGAAGAAAAGGAGAGACAACCGAGGGAACCUUCUUAGGUAAACGAUUCAAAAGUCGAUAGUCUAGAAGAGGUCUUAUAAGUGUUGUGCUUGGCAGAGGAUAAUAAGGCAGGUCAUGAGAAGCCAGGUCAAAAAGAAAUUCGAAGUAUAAUGACAUCUAGGCUUGUAGGAUCCAGAAGGAACUGGAGAUGGUACCGCUCUUUUCAGCCUUCAUGACCAUUGAGGCAUGUACUAGCCCUCUAUACAGAGAAGCAAGAACUACGGAAACAAGAGUAAUGCGCUUAUCACUUGCAAGAUUUGCAGCCAUUUGGAGAUAAUCCUUGUUCACUUUAAGUGUGACACAUUUGAAAACGUAUCUUGACAACCAGUAUAGUAAGAAAACGAUGAGUUCCUUUUCAUCGACAGGGCCUGUCUCUCCACCAAACUGCUCGAAGAACUUACUAUGCGCAAGAACAUCUGAGAUGAAAAAAGGAAUUUCAAUCGUAGGCAACUGCUCAACAGAACGGCUAAAUAGCUGAAAAUCGGUUAUAGUAUGCAUGUCCUGUAGGGUAAUAGUCAUAGGUCCCCAAGGGAAAAGGAAACAGUUAAUCGAAGAGGACCAAAAGCUUACUGUAGACCCUACCAAUCCACAGUUUACAUCAUAAGAAGACAUAUUGAUUGCGAGCGUCUUCUCAAUCCCAGCAUUCAUCCAGGCAAGUCAGGUUGGUUCAUCAUCCCUUAAUCGGAGAAACCAUUUAUGGAAAUCUGCCUCAAAUGAAAGGAACCCAAGAAAUCGAGGAGAAGCUAAGGACCAGACAUCUCAAAAGAAGCUGUAUUGAAGAGCCAAAGUUUCAUGCCUUGUAGGAAAGCAAGCUUUGAGUGGAGGAUGGAUUCUAUUAUAGUCAACAAUACUGGGACCUACAAAGAAGCAGCCCGUCACAUCUUGACCUCAUUCAACAGGCCAUAGCAGGUGACGAAGCAGGUGACGAAGCGUUCCCCUGUCUAGAGAGAGAGAGUGAUCAAAUUGCUGAGGUAGUCUGCCGAGUCAUAUCCGGAGGUUUUCUUGGGUGCCAUAGCAGGUGACGAAGCGUAGAUGAAAGAAAUCGCAAAGAGAAUUUGGAAAUAGGGUAAGGUAAGAAGACGGAAUAUUAUUAGUAGAAGAUAGAUGCCUCAGGGAAGAAAAGGGAAAAGUUACGAAAUUAGUGGAGACAUGUCGAGAUAAUGUGGGGAAUGAAAAUUUGUAUCAAGGACAAGAUGUCAGAAGACAAUUAGGCAUGAUCACCUUAGAAGGCCACAUAUGUUGACACCCAAAAUUACCUUCAGAACCACGUGUCGGUCACAAGAGAAUACUAGGUGAAACGCUCUAUUUUGGUUCACAAAGUUUUCAUGGAAGCUAUUUAAGUUGAGCCUCGAUAGAAUUUUAGAAGUCAACUCUAGAGUCGAUACCUAGGAGACUAAUUGCCAUGUGUCAAGCUACGGGGAUAGUGCACCAGAUUUGAAGAUAAAGCGAAAUUAGUAUUAGAACUCAAGCAAGAAUAACCAUGGCAACAAAUGCACAUGAAAAUAGGGAAUAGUUAUUCGCUUGAUGAGCAAGUUGCACAAGCAUCAUCGACAGAUCAUUAAAGGAUAAAGUCGUCAAGAAGAAAUGGAAAACAUGGAGAAUGCGAAUAGUAAUGCUGAAGAAAUAGCAACCAAUUGAGGAACAUCAGUCCACUCUAUAAAUACCGCAGCCCUACCAUUGAAAACAUCCCUGAACAACAUAUCAAUUAUAUUUACUUUAUCUUUACUUUAUUGCAUUUUAGCUAUAAUUUCCAGGAUUCUCAUCUUUGAUUAAAUUCUAACGUGUAUCUUUAUCUGGUCCAAUGCCAUUGAUUGAAUUCCGGUGUUGUUCCACAAGCCCACUGUUGUUGAUUAAAUUCCAGCAUUAUGUUUUCUAUCCAGAGGUAUCACUAUUGAUUAGAUUCUACCCUUACACCUAAAACAAAUUGUGUCGUGGAUUAAAUUCCGACAUAGUUUGAGCUCAAAAGCAUAGACUAUCCAGUUCCUAGUGUCUAGAUUACAUCAUUGAUUAGAUUCUAGUGUGAUUUACACUCAACAAUAGUUAGUUUUUGAGUCACAUUAGCAUUGAUUGUCAGGGUUGUAUAUACAAAUUGAAAGUAAAAUUCCUCUCGCAUUUGACAUUCUUUGUCCAAGCUCAACACAAAACUUGAGCGUCUUAUAAUAAAAUCAAAACGCAGUGUUUGAUGAAAGAUUUUUCACGAUGAUCAAAACUGGUGAAACAGAAUUAUAUCAAGCUCGUUCUUGCUCUUGAAGAACUUGGAGAACUCUAAACUCUUGUCGAGGGUAAUCACCGGCCCCUCUACCUCUGCCUCACUCCCUUUCAAGCUUGCGAGGGGGACUUAUUGUGUUUUGUCGUCGAUGGCAGGGAAAAGACCGCUUGACGAACGCCAAAGCAGCAACGAGCGUAGAGUAGUCAAAUCCGAGAGUGAUUCAUGAUUUGAAAGCAUUCGCUGGAGAGGAAAGAGGUUUGCUUUUCUUCUUCUUCUUCAGAUUAGGAAAGCACGAAGGAAAGAGAAUAUAAGAGAAAGAAAUAAGUGUGUGCAGAGCGAUAGAGAGAAAGAGAGCAAGGGUAGUGCGUGCAGACUAGUGAGAGAGAAAGGAAAUUAUUUUUUGUGCAUAAAUUCGUUAGCUGGUGGCCGGCCCCGCAGCCUUACGUUGCUUCACGUGUCGCUUCUCGAGUGGCUGGGAAUCACGCUGACUUGGAGUACCCAGACCACCAAUAUUUCCUCGGUUCUCUAUAUUCAAUUUUUUAAUGAUCGUCCUGUUUCUCUUUGGAAUGGUAGCUACGAGUACGCUACGUACUCUCUACCGCGAUGUCUCAAAGUACAGCCAAUUGGAGAACCAAGAAGAAGCCCUAGAAGAGGCGGGCUGGAAGUUGGUACACGGGGAUGUGUUCCAUCCUCCUGCAAACUCGGACUUACCGUGUGUCUACAUCGGGACAAGGGUCCAAUUUUUGGGGAUGACUCUUGUCAUCAUGAUUUUUGUCCUCCUUGGUUUCCUCUCUCCUACUAACCGAGGGGGUCCGAUGACGGCAAUGGUCUUGCUUUGGGUCUUUAUGGGCCUUUUCGCAGGAUACUCUUCAGCUUGUUUAUAAAAGAUGUUCGAGGGAGCAGAACGGAAGAAAAUUACUCUCAAGACUGUUUUCAUGCUCCCCGCUUCCAUUUUCGUUGUGUUCUUUAUCUUGAAUGUGUUGUAGAGGCUAACAGUAUUAUCUAGAGGAGGAUGAAUAACUGAUUAUACAUGAUCUAAAUAAACUAAAGCGGAAUUUAAGACAACCAAGUUUGAUAUUGCAAAAGAACAAAAUCUAAUGAGAAAUUAUGCAAUAACCAGAUUCUAAUGUGUGCAAAAUGCUAUCAAAUAAAACAAUAGAGAGUUAAAGGGAUAGAGAAAUUUGCACACACUAAUUAUAGUGAUUUGGUUCAAAUCAAGUCCACAUUUACUCUCCCAUGUUGAUUAACCUACUGACUGGAUUUCAAUAGAGAAUCAAUCAGUUUGUGUGGUCAGGUGCUUAUUUCUGGAAAUUCGAGAAACUUAAUCAGACAUUCUGCUUCUUUCAACUGAUUUUCUUCCUCGUAUCAACUGGACUCCGACCUGCUUUCCUCUCCUGAACGCUGCUUAAGUGCAACCAUUUUAGGUUUAUCUUGUAUUGCUGGGACGAAUCUUUUGUUAUUCAUCGAGUGACCAUCACGUCAAUGGCUCUCGACAGUCUGCUGCUUUUCAAGGACAAAUUAUAGGUCAUGACGAUACUCAUAUGGGGUGAGCUUGAUUGUUGGCUUUAUACAUGAAAUGGAACUACUUCAUUUGCUCUUGAAAAGGAUAAGUUUCAUUGAAGCCAGCUAUCGAUCAGUAGGGAGUUCUCAUUAAAACACUCGCCGUUCGUCUAAUAGUCAUUAUUAGUAGGAUUGAUGGCUGAUUAAUCAAUGCCCGUCAAGAUUUCAUGAUAAAAAUAAGGGCAAAGAGAUAUUGUUUGGCAAAAGCGAUAAGAAAGGUGGAGAAAUCACCAUGGAAUUAGUCGAGCGUUCAUUCACGCAUCCGCCAUAUCUUUAGACGACCAAAAGUUCCCCAAGAGCCCAAGGGAAUAGAACAGCGCCAAUAGCCAUUUUAAUGUUUACGCUGAAAAUCGUCAGUUUAUUGACUUAAACGAAACAUCAGCGUCCUUCAUUUCGGCAACUAAUUCUAGAUUGACGAGCACGAGAAAGAUUAACUUCCCUUUAUGCAUUUUUUAAUAAAUGUGCACAAAAUUGAAAUAAAAUGAUGAAUCAUAUGUCCUGUCGUUCUACUUAAAACAUGAAAACGAAUGGAUCAGUUUAUCAUAUAUAUAUCGUCUUCAAAGAUCUACCCAAAUAGGAUGAAUAAUCAAUAUAGAUGCCUCUACCUAUUGACAUUUAAAAAGAUAUAUGGCAUCUUACCGACUAACAUUUUAUUACUAGUCUAAAAAUUAAUUGCCAAUCAUCUUGAAAGGAAUGGAGAGAAAAAAGCAAGGAAAGAAAAUGAAGAAUCAAGAAAAGAGACAUGUAUAAACUGGCGAUCUUUAUUGGUUCUUAACAUUACAAAGCAUGAGAACAAUCAUGAAAUAGUACUCACUACUGUUAUUAGCCAAGGUUGCAGAGGGCGGGGUGCUGGUGGACAGUGCCCAUGUCCAUGCCCAUGAUAGUGGCGACCUUGUCUUGACUUAUAAAUUUUGACUAAAUACUUAAAAUUUAUUUUCAUAGAAGAUUAGGGACCAAUUUUGGCCCUAACAAAAAAGAUUUUCAUAUCACCUAUGUAUUAAUAUCAUUUGCUUUUUCUAGGUUUUAUUUUCUAUUUUAUCUUCCCUAUUUUUGGAUAAAUUAAUGUUUAAAAAAUUAAUAAUUAAAAGAAAAAAAAGAGGGAGGUUCUGGAGAUAGAAACCGAGGCUAAGAGAGCUGAGAUAGAGUGAGUAAGCCUCAGUCGACGCUGCGGCCGUGACAUCCCCUGUCUGACAAGCUCCAGCCAGCGUUGCCGAGCCAAAUCGUGAGCCUCCGGCCUUGUUUUUGCCCCGUUUUGGGCGCAUCGGGGCGGAGCUCGCGGCCGUCGGGCUAACGCGAACUCUGACCCCUCAUCUGUCCUUCGGUUUGCUGCUGUGUGUGUUCGUCCGUCGAGAGUCCCGGUCUCCGAUUUGGGUCUCAAUUGGGCUGAAAGACCAUCGAUCCCGUAACGUACACCACCUGUUCGACACAAUGACUAAACGAGAUCUAGUUUCCGUGUCCUCGCUUCUGGCCAAGACCAAGCGUCCUUGGCUUGAUUAACGUUGUUGAGAUGAUGUUAUUGAGUGUAGCGAUUCGGGCGUCGGUCGUUUGGGUCGUUUCGCAGAGUCCCUGUAAUAUAAAAGUCGGUGACAGCCCACUUGGAGGACCCGGAUUCUUCAUAUACUAAGCAUUUGGCUGUGGAAUUUUAAGCAUUAAAGGAGGAGGUUUGGUAAAAAGCAAUGAACGAGAUGUCGUAGACAAAAGGAAGGCUGGUCUUUUCAAACCCUUGCUCUUCACGAAAUUCAGUCUCGAAAAAGGGCACUUUCGAUAUUGUUUUGCGGAAAUUUACCGCCAUAAAUGAAAUGCUCGGACAACAAUAUAAUUUACUGCAGACGUGAAGAUGCUCAAAGAAGCUUUGUUCUGAGAAGAAGAAACUGUCUCCAUCACGAGUCGGGUAAAAACGAACUGAAAGACCUAGAAAACACGUUGAAUUACCGAAGCAACCGGCUUCGCAAGUGAAGAUAUUUGACGCGUGCUCUAGAAAAGCCAUAAAAGAUAUAGCCCAAACAAUGUCUAUCCAUAAAAGGAAAUUCUCAUUUUAAGACUAUCACUUCGAAGAACUUCAUCGAUAGAAUUGUGGGCACAAUUGAAGGAGAGUGUUGAAUUAUGUCUCAAAUUUGAGUACCCGACCCGAUGUUAAUUAGACAAGUUAAAGGUGCUUGUCAUUAUUUUAUUUUAGUUUUUUUUUUUUUUGUGGCGGGGGGGGGGGGGGGGCGGGUGUUGCGUGAGGGAGUCAGGGAAAUAAGUUCCGUGUUGCAACCGGUAGUGAUCUUCAUAACACAUCACAAAAGGAAAGACAUGGAUUUAAUCGAUCGAGAUGUAUCAUCUAAACAAUAGAGAAACCGUUACCAAUUAUAGAUGGAAAUCAAAAAUAGAAUGGGAUUGAAGUUGAGUGGGAAUUCAGUGGCCAGUAACAUAAAAGAAAAAGUCGGUGGAAACAUGAGAUUAAAACAUCUAAUUGCACUUGCAACGCCACCAGAAGUUAUGUGGAUCCAAAUCCAUAAAUCCAAAUCCAACACGAAGACCAUCUAAAUCUUUAUGCUCUGACCCAGUGAAAAGGAAAUUUAAGAGGAGAAAGCAAGAAUUAGGUCAUGAAAGCCACAUCUGAUAAUACAAGACCCCGAAGACAAUUAAGUUAGCCUGCUAGAGGAGACAAGUGGCUUCUUCACACGCAUGCACAAACUUCAGGCAAAACAUUACAUAAAAUGAAAGUAACACAAACUUCACUCAUAACAUUGCAUAAAAUAAUAGUAACACAUGCACAAACUUCAGGAAAAACAUUACAUAAAGUAACAGCUUGACACGGUGGAGUCUGAUGCCGGUGUGGCGGGAAGAUGAUGAUUACCACCGGAGAUGACGCUGACCUUUCUAGAUUUUCAAUAACUGAAACUUUGACCACGGCAAGUGGCCGUCUCCCUAUUUGUGGCCCUGUAUGUGGAGGUGUUCCACCUUGUGGAACUGUAUGUGAUGGUGUUCGUGGACGUAUAUGUGGUGGUGUUUGUGGACGUGUAUGUGGUGGUUUUCCACUUUGUGGACAUGUAUGUGGUGGUUUUCCACUUUGUGGACAUGUAUGUGGUGGUUUUCCACUUUGUGGACAUGUGUGUGGCGGGGUUUCUCCUUGAGGACGAGUACAGCAACGCCGUGGCCGUGGCCGUGGCUGUGGCCCUCUUUGUGUCCAGGCCAGUGGCCGUGUCCAUCUUUGUGGACAUGAGUGUGGCAGUGUUUCUCCUUGGGGACGAGUGCAGCAUCGCUGUGUCUGUGGCUGUGGUCCUCUUUGUGUCCAUGCCGGUGGCCGUGUCCAUCUUUGUGGCCGUGUCCAUCUUUGUGGCCAUGCCGGUGGCUGUGCCCGUGGCCAUGGCCAUGAUGGCUGCCGUGGUGAUGACCCUCUCCCAUAAUUUUCCUUGUGGGCGUGAGUGUUACUUUGGAAAUGUGUUGUGGCAGUUCAUGGUGGCGAAGAGUGCUAUUUAACCCAUAAAGGGCCACCGGACCCAGCAAAAAGAAAAAAAAAAAGAAAAAAAAAAUUGUUAAUGGGCCUAAUGGUGUUUAGAAGUCUUGGUCACGGUCAGUGUUUAUUUGGACGGUCACUGUGUAUUUAUUUAUUUUUUUGGGUCCAUAGUUUGGACGGUGGGAAAGUACCAAGUAGUCAACUUUGGCGGAGCAUCGAGAAGCUGUUGAAGAAAGAAGAGAGCAACAAGCAAGAAGUCAUCAAUGGAAGCUUCAUAGAAGAUGAACCGGUACAGCUGGCAAGAUAAAUGCCAGUGGUAUAAGUCUUGGUCGCGGCCACCAUCUUGGAAAAAAGGACUGAACGUGAACAAGAAGAUAAAGUUGUCUUUUCAACAAGAAAAGUUUAUGCCAAUGGUAUUAGCCUUAUUAAGAUAACUGCUAAUGGUAUAAGUCUUAGUCUACAUGACUUGUCGAAGAGCUGGACCAAUAAAGAAUAGCCAAAACAACAUCGUUUUGUCUUUUAUUUGAAUUUUAAUAUAAAUAUUAAAUAAAUUUAAUUUAAAACUAAAAUUUAAUAUAAAACGACAUCAUACUUUUCCUUCUUUUAAUGUGGAUUUUAUAGAGAAUAUGGUGUUUUGGGAGAUCUUAUGUUCGUAAAUUAUUUAUAGGCAUAGACACCUAAGGAGGAGAGAUUCUAAGUGGGACCAAAGGCACCAGUGUUGGUGUUGAUAAUUUGCCUGUCCACGCUAAAAUUGAUUCAUCUGGCAUCUUUACUCGAAGAUAUCUUACUCUUGGCACCUCUAUAGGAUUGCGCAUAGGCAUAGCAUAUGUAUCACACUGCUAUUAGAAUGCUGAUAUAAGUCAUCGGAUAUGUUCAUAUUCCUCGUACUAAAAUUUAGAGAUAAUUACACAAAUAAUUCCUUAACUUUGGUCCCAUAUGCAGUGUCGUUUCCAAACUUUUAAUUCUUCAAUAUGGUCCUAGAACUUUAGUCUAAUGUGCAUUAUCGUCCCUAAAUUUUUUAUUUAGUCAACAUGGUCCACGAACUUUUUGAUAACAUUCAAUCUAGUCCACAGACUAUGUGAAAACAAUUAAUGCUAUCCUUUCAUCGAUUGAAGUUCAAAGACAAAAUUAAAUAUUUUUAUAUAGUCUAAUGACUAAAUUAAACAUAUACUAAAAAUUUAUGGAGCAUAUUGAAUAAAUUAAAAGUUUAUGAACCACAUUACACAACGGUUAAAGUUCAAGGACUACAUUGAACAAAAUACAAGUUUAAUAAAUAACAUUGUAUAUUAGGCUAAAAUUCAUGAAUCAUCCUUAUCAUCUUCCCUUUAUUUUACCAAGCAUCGAUAGGAAAAUUGUCUAAAAAUUCUUAAAUCUAGUUAGUCCUAAAUCUUUCAAUUUUGUUAAUUGAAGCCUAAAUAUUUUCACAUUGUGUCAAUUGAGUUCAUUUGACCAAUUUUGGCUAGAAAUCAUGGACGUGGACUUCAGCCAUUCUAUGUGGUAUUGACAAAGCUAAUGUGGGCAAAUUUUAAUAAUAUUUUAAUAUUAAUUUAUUAAAAAAUUGAAUUUUAUUUUUUUCCUUUUUUUUCUUUACUUUUUUCCUGAUCUUUUCUCUUUGGUAGCGAGGGAGUCGUGGGUGAGUGGGGUUGGCAUAGCCACGGAGGCCCUAGGUGCGGCCUCCCUGGCCCUAGGCAAAGGGCUUCAUAACCUCGUCGAUUGCAAGUGAGGGUGCAAAAGACCUUACUCGAUCAAGGCGAAGCCUACAUGGCUGGCAAGGGUUGCCGGUGACCCUCACCGGCUAAAAAAAAGCAGAGAGUAAGAAAAAAAAUAUAAAAAAAUAUUGUGAUAUUAUUAAAAUUUGUCCGUGGCCGUGUCGCUCUGUGUCCUUGGCCGUGUCCCUGUUUCUGGCCGUGUGUGAGACCAUGGCCAUGCCGGAAGCCUUGAUGACCGUGAUGGCCGCGUUGACGAUGACCGUCCUCCGUGCUUAUGAGCUGUAGGUUUUCCUUGCGUUUUCCUUGCGAUUUCCUUGCGUUUUCCUUGCGGGGGUCAAAGGAAGUAAAGGCAAGAAGGCCAGUCCUUAAAGGAUAGGAGAAAAGCCUCUGCAAGACGAAGUUACUAAGUAAGGGGCCCUGGCAUUAGAAAGUCUUGGUCAAGUGCAUUGAUUUUUUGGACGGUGGGGUUGGGACAAUUCUAUCGCGAAGAUUCGUGGUCCUUCGUUAAUUUUAUAUUAUCUCUUUUAUUAGUCCAUUUGACUUGUUUUUCUUGGAGUCAAUCCUCGAUUGGUGCUUAAGGGGCAGAUUGUAUAUGCCUAUAUCUUCAACAUAAAUAUAAGUUUUACCUCACAAUUUCAUUUUGGUUUACAUCCAUCGCAACUACUGUUCCAUUAUAUGUACCUUAGAGAAAGUAUUUGUAAAAUGAUUAAGCAUCUCAAGUUUGUUUACUAUAUCUUUAAUUCUAUGAAACUAAGUCAGAUAACUGAACUGAAUGCACGUAGGGGAUUACAUCUCGUCUUAGCGAGUCCACCUUAAAGACUUAUUUAGGCGUUAACCUAAUCUCCAACUCAAAUUGACAAAGCAGCCAUUCGUUCAAUCACAUGCUCAGUAUAGAAAUAUGUCUCGACAAUGAAGCCAUCCAACGAAUCCUGACCCGACCAGGGGUUGCGGCCGCGGAUGGGAAAGGAGACGGCGAUGGUCUUUGAUUGAAGGAGAAAAGCUUGUCCGCUAAGAAAGGGAAAAGAGAAGAUCGGAAAAUGGGACGAAAAGGGGAAGAGAGAGUAGCCAUCAUGGUGUCCUAUUCAUGAUGAGCACUCUAAAUACGAAGAGAAAGCGCGUUGAAGGCUGCCUGAAAAGACAUUGAAGAGUGUCGGGAGUUUCUCCGGAAGGUUGAACUUGUGGAAGUCCAUUAAAUACUUACGGUAAGUAUUUAAUUGAUAGCUUUACGAGAUUAUGAGAUUAUUUUUAGUGGAAUUUUAAGAAAUAAAAAUCAUAUCAGUUAUUGGGUGUAUUUAUGGUUGAGAAACAUUAUGAAUAUUCGAAUAAGUCGAGUAUGAUUGUAAUCUCUAUUAUACCAGUUGAUUUACAAUAAAAUAUUUGACUGCUCUCUUUUGAAUUACAUAAAUUCGAUGUCGAAUUUAUUUGCUCAUUCUUAUAAAUGGAUUGCCUGAUAGCUUGUUUUUGGCAACCGUAGUCAUAUGUACUUGGGAAAUUUAAAAAUUUACAUAAAGCUUUACCGAUAGGUCAAUCGGAUCAAAUCAAAUGGAGGGGUUCCUCUAGAUUUACAUAAUUGGAUCGAUGGUGACCAGAAAUAGGACAAAGGGUUAGGCGACAUCGUUGUCAUCGAAUGUUUCUUUUGGGCAAAGCCCCUCCUUCCACGAAACUUGCGGGCGACUUUGCUUUAUGAAGUGCACACUUCGAGUCUUGCGAUUGUGACACAGCUUGCCGUGCAAGUUGGAAAGAGCUUGCUCGUUUGCCUCGAAUUGCUAACCGAGUGAUUUGCAUAAAAUGCUCAUUUUCUUGCUUAUAAACAAUCUAGAGAGGGCAAGAUGAAAAAAAAAAAAAAAAAACAAUCUAGAGAGGGCAAGAUGAAACAAGAACCAAAGUAUGGCAACAGGCAACAGCUACUUGUGAUAUGCCUUCCGAGGCACUUGAACUUGGUAGUUGGUAUGAAAUCAGCCUUCUUGCUUAUUAAAAUCCUUGUCAUUAGAGGCUCAAAUUAUGAAAUUCACUAUGUUUGGACAUUUUAUUCUCUCUAGGCAUGGCCAAAACUCACUAAAUUAGGAUGGGUUCUGGAAAGCUACAGGUCAAGUGUGUUGCUGUCCAUGCCUCCAAUGUACACUUUUUAGCUGUAUAAUUUAUCCAACUCUUAUCCGUCAAAUGAAAAAAAAGAAAAAUCAAACCAUACUUCUGGCGGAUGCCAAGAGCUCCAGAAGACACAAGUGAAUAGCAAACAAUUUGAUCGUACUCGCGCAACAUUGGUAAUUCCAAAUGAACCAAAAAGAGGAUGCUGCAAAACAUUUGUAAUGUCACAAAUACCUGCUAAACUAUCUUACAAUGAUGAUUUCCUGCAGCCACUACGUAUUCCGCGUGAUGUUUUUCCAACUGCACAGGCCCAUCAAAUAAGAUCAAACGAAAACAAACAUGAAAAAUACUAUGUUCUUCUACAUGAACUAGCGUAAUUAGACAUGUAGAACCAUGUUCCGCAGGAAAACUAUGUAAAUUCCUUUAAGUCGUCCUUGCUUCAGUACACUCUCGAAGGGAAGAGUAUAUUUUCUCGUCAUGGAUAAUUCAGCAAUUUAUCUGUUUUGGCUUAGCGCAAGGUGAGUGAGGAUCGAGGGAUUCUCAUUUUUUUGUAUUAAUGAGGCAAGCUUUGCAGUAUGUGUCGAUUCUCACCGUACCGUUCUCACUGCAUUAUUCUGUUUGCCAGGUUUUACAUAAGAUCUUAAACGCACUACUUUUUCACUUCUUCAGUGCUCCAGAAUUUCGCCCUUUAGCUCAGUAGUCGAGCUUAAUUUGAUUCAAUUCAUUUUGAUACCGAUGGAAUAUAGGCCGAAGCUAUAUAUCAAUUGACAUAGAAAUCUUUAUAUAGAUACAACUUGAUAAAUUGUACUUAUAUGUCCUAGAACCGUCCAACCACUGUCUAAACGAUUCUAUGAAAAGUGGCACCUGUGACAGAGAUUGAAACUUCUAAUGCUUGUGAUUAAAAGACAUUGAACUAAUUGAUCAAGAUGUAUAAUCUUAAGAAUUAAGAAAUUCUAUCUACUGUCGAUGAAUAUAAAUGGGAUUAAACUUGUGUGGAGAUUCACUGGCGAUUAACAGAAUAGAAUUCAGGGCUAACACGAGACUAACACAUCUAAUUGCACUUGCAAAACCCCAGAAGCAAUAACCCAAAUCCGUUUAUCAGGGCUAUGACAUUCGACGCAAAGAACAUCUACACCUUUACGCUCUGACCCAGUGAAGAGAAAAAUCAAGAGAAAGAAUUAGGUCAUGAAAAACACAUACUACAAGACCACAGGGACAACCCACCUUGUCUUCUUGAGGUAUAACAAGUGACUUCUUCACACACGUACGCACGCUUCAUAUUUAACAUUACAUAAAGUAACUGAGGGGAGCUUCAUUCGUGCUACAACCGGAUGGUAGUGGUGCCGAACUCAUCAUCCGGUCGAGGCUAAAAGCCGCCUGGUGGGCAGAAGACGACGGGAGGACGGACUGGAUAAACCACUGGAGGUGGCGAUAGAGAACCAGUGUAUCAGGUCAU
Molecule: long non-coding RNA, 14405 nt
Filed under: Eucalyptus grandis
Lineage: Eukaryota; Viridiplantae; Streptophyta; Magnoliopsida; Myrtales; Myrtaceae
Description: long non-coding RNA (EGRA_LNC001248)
Source: RNAcentral